AUGGAUUUGCCGCAGCCCUUGAAAGAUAAAGACUCCACGCAAUUUGAACUUGGCCGGACCAAUGAUGGGAAGCUUUGCAUGGUUUGCGUAGAUGGCUUUGGUGCAGACAAAACAAUGAUCGCGGUUUGGAUUUGGAGAGCCGAUGGUGAUGGUGUUGAAAAGUGGAUGCAGCACAAGGUUUUCCCACUGAAUACGUUUAUUGACCUCACGACGUGCUCAGCAGAGUACGAUGUCAUCACGGUGCAGGUUGCGGUGGUAAUCGAUGGAUUUGUGUUCCUGUGUAUUGAUUUUGGUAGGCUUACCAAGUUCUUCCUGUCUUUCUGCCUGGAAACAGAGAAUGUAAACGAAUUCUUCAAUCAUACAUUUCACAAUGAUAUCCAUCCCUACAUCAUGGCGUGGCCUUCUACUUUGCUAAGCAACAAGGAGAAUUCAGUAACCAACAUUACUGGAGGCGAUGCGACAGAUGAUGGUCCUGUGGGUACAGAAGAAACUCUCUCUGUUCUCGGUGGCGGAGAAAGCAUCCAAACAAUUCGUGUACGGAGUCCCCUAAAGAUCACAGUUUUACUCAAGCAUAGAAAUUUAUUUAACGUAUACUGUUCUUGA
Molecule: ribosomal RNA, 603 nt
Filed under: Triticum aestivum (bread wheat)
Lineage: Eukaryota; Viridiplantae; Streptophyta; Magnoliopsida; Poales; Poaceae
Description: partial small subunit ribosomal RNA
Source: RNAcentral